GCGGGUUCGGCCGCAGCGCGCGCGGAUUGGGCGCGGGUGGGUGCGGGGCCCCGGGCCGGGAGCCCUCCUUCCGUCCCCUCGUAGGCUGCUCGUACUGCCGCCCGCUUACAGAGGGGAAAACCGGGGCGCUCAGCAGAGCCACCUGCCCACAGAGACCUGGGAUAAUAGAGGCCAAAGGUGGCCCAUCAGCUCAGAAACCUGUAAUUCCGCACAUGCCCAACCAUCCACAGGGACCGGAAGGAGCCGAGCAGACGCCAGCGGAAACCCACAGAUGUUUGCAAUUGACAACAGACCCAUCAGCAGAUGUCCUUAAAGAAUUUGCCGGCACCUGCUGCCUGUUUACCAAUGCUCCCUCCGUGAAGUUCACCUUCAGCUCACGGUGACCACCGCCACCGCCGCCGCCACUGGGGCCCCAAGUCGGGGAUGCCUAGCUCGGGUGGCCCCUUGCUCUAGCCCCCAAGGACAGUCACUUGACCUCUCUGAGCCAGAGAUGCUGCAUGUGUGAAGGAGAAGUGGUAACGCUCACCUCCUAGGAUGGCGGUGACGAUUCGAAAUGAAAACGUCUAGGGCCCUUGGCGUGGGGUCAGCUCCAGGUAGGUGCCCGGUCAGUGGCAGCUGUCGUGAUUCCUCACCUCUUAGCCUCCGUUUCCCCAGCUGGGUUUGGACAGGGCUUAUCUAGAUCAGUGGUUCUCAGUUGGGGGUGAUUUUACCCCCCAGCUGUGGGGCAAGGGAAGCUGCUGGCAUCAGGUGGCGUCGGAGAUGCUGCCAACGUCCGACAGGGUGCAGGACAGCCACGCACAGCGGGGGAUUGUCCAGCCCCAAAUGUCCACAUGAUCUGUAUUAAGAAACCCUGGACUAAGUUCAUCUCUGCGUUUCCCUCGCAGUAGAGGAAGUUUGGGUUGGGUCUGUGUUGCCUUGUGCUGGGAGGGGUCUGGAGCAUCCAGGCUUUCAACCCGGACGUGGCCCCGUAGACUGGACCUCGGGCCUGGGACACUUCCUCCCAGGAGGCAAAGAGG
RNAcentral lists this long non-coding RNA (1016 nucleotides) under Sus scrofa (pig). Its description in RNAcentral is "lncRNA (ENSSSCG00070025781.1)". The record is from RNAcentral. Lineage: Eukaryota; Metazoa; Chordata; Mammalia; Artiodactyla; Suidae.